GAAAUGCGAUACUUGGUGUGAAUUGCAGAAUCCCGUGAACCAUCGAGUCUUUGAACGCAAGUUGCGCCCGAAGCCAUUAGGUUGAGGGCACGUCUGCCUGGGCGUCUCAUGUUGCGUCGCCCGCGCCCCCUCCCUCCCCCCACGAAGGGGGAAAGAAGGGCUGCGGGCGUAUGUUGGCCCCCCGUGCGCCCCCACGCUCAGUCGGCCCAAAAGCGAGUCCCCCGCGACGGACGACGCGUCGCGAUGAGCGGUGGUUGACAAACCGUUGCGUCGCCUCGCGCGCAUCUGGGUAGUCUCGAGAGGCCUGUCGUGACCCUAUCGCGCUGCCGCCAAGGCAUUCCGAUUGCUACCCCAGGUCAGGCGGGAUUACCUGCUGAGUUUAG
This 383-nucleotide unclassified non-coding RNA is filed under the name uncultured fungus. RNAcentral's name for it is "sequence contains ITS1". The stretch from base 1 to 107 matches the Rfam family "5.8S ribosomal RNA", at positions 50 to 154 of the family's 154-position model. The record is from RNAcentral. Lineage: Eukaryota; Fungi.